UUUUAUGGGGUGACUGCGUACCUUUUGUAUAAUGGGUCAGCGACUUAUAUUCUGUAGCAAGGUUAACCGAAUAGGGGAGCCGAAGGGAAACCGAGUCUUAACUGGGCGUUAAGUUGCAGGGUAUAGACCCGAAACCCGGUGAUCUAGCCAUGGGCAGGUUGAAGGUUGGGUAACACUAACUGGAGGACCGAACCGACUAAUGUUGAAAAAUUAGCGGAUGACUUGUGGCUGGGGGUGAAAGGCCAAUCAAACCGGGAGAUAGCUGGUUCUCCCCGAAAGCUAUUUAGGUAGCGCCUCGUGAAUUCAUCUCCGGGGGUAGAGCACUGUUUCGGCAAGGGGGUCAUCCCGACUUACCAACCCGAUGCAAACUGCGAAUACCGGAGAAUGUUAUCACGGGAGACACACGGCGGGUGCUAACGUCCGUCGUGAAGAGGGAAACAACCCAGACCGCCAGCUAAGGUCCCAAAGUCAUGGUUAAGUGGGAAACGAUGUGGGAAGGCCCAGACAGCCAGGAUGUUGGCUUAGAAGCAGCCAUCAUUUAAAGAAAGCGUAAUAGCUCACUGGUCGAGUCGGCCUGCGCGGAAGAUGUAACGGGGCUAAACCAUGCACCGAAGCUGCGGCAGCGACGCUUAUGCGUUGUUGGGUAGGGGAGCGUUCUGUAAGCCUGUGAAGGUGUGCUGUGAGGCAUGCUGGAGGUAUCAGAAGUGCGAAUGCUGACAUAAGUAACGAUAAAGCGGGUGAAAAGCCCGCUCGCCGGAAGACCAAGGGUUCCUGUCCAACGUUAAUCGGGGCAGGGUGAGUCGACCCCUAAGGCGAGGCCGAAAGGCGUAGUCGAUGGGAAACAGGUUAAUAUUCCUGUACUUGGUGUUACUGCGAAGGGGGGACGGAGAAGGCUAUGUUGGCCGGGCGACGGUUGUCCCGGUUUAAGCGUGUAGGCUGGUUUUCCAGGCAAAUCCGGAAAAUCAAGGCUGAGGCGUGAUGACGAGGCACUACGGUGCUGAAGCAACAAAUGCCCUGCUUCCAGGAAAAGCCUCUAAGCAUCAGGUAACAUCAAAUCGUACCCCAAACCGACACAGGUGGUCAGGUAGAGAAUACCAAGGCGCUUGAGAGAACUCGGGUGAAGGAACUAGGCAAAAUGGUGCCGUAACUUCGGGAGAAGGCACGCUGAUAUGUAGGUGAAGUCCCUUGCGGAUGGAGCUGAAAUCAGUCGAAGAUACCAGCUGGCUGCAACUGUUUAUUAAAAACACAGCACUGUGCAAACACGAAAGUGGACGUAUACGGUGUGACGCCUGCCCGGUGCCGGAAGGUUAAUUGAUGGGGUCAGCGCAAGCGAAGCUCUUGAUCGAAGCCCCGGUAAACGGCGGCCGUAACUAUAACGGUCCUAAGGUAGCGAAAUUCCUUGUCGGGUAAGUUCCGACCUGCACGAAUGGCGUAAUGAUGGCCAGGCUGUCUCCACCCGAGACUCAGUGAAAUUGAACUCGCUGUGAAGAUGCAGUGUACCCGCGGCAAGACGGAAAGACCCCGUGAACCUUUACUAUAGCUUGACACUGAACAUUGAGCCUUGAUG
RNAcentral lists this ribosomal RNA (1567 nucleotides) under Escherichia coli. RNAcentral describes it as "partial 23S ribosomal RNA". It matches the Rfam family "Bacterial large subunit ribosomal RNA", at positions 584 to 2136 of the family's 2925-position model. The record is from RNAcentral. Lineage: Bacteria; Pseudomonadati; Pseudomonadota; Gammaproteobacteria; Enterobacterales; Enterobacteriaceae.